AACACCGUCUCCGUUUUGUAAAUGUUUCUGCAACAAGAUGUUUGUUGCAAACACAACAGAGUCCAACACUUCAAUGGUUUCGCAACAAAGCUGUUGUUGCAUAGCGAGCUACGCAACAUCUAUCUUGUUGCAUUUUGCGACAUGCACCUUAGGAGAGAUCUGACGGCUGUUUGUGUCACAAUCCAACGAUGAAGGAGGUGGAUGAUGUUUUCAAUUCAUCUACCGGCGGAUGCGUA
This 236-nucleotide long non-coding RNA is filed under the name Hordeum vulgare. RNAcentral describes it as "long non-coding RNA (HVUL_LNC004607)". The record is from RNAcentral. Lineage: Eukaryota; Viridiplantae; Streptophyta; Magnoliopsida; Poales; Poaceae.